CCUACGGGGGGCAGCAGUGGGGAAUAUUGGACAAUGGGGGGAACCCUGAUCCAGCCAUGCCGCGUGUGUGAAGAAGGCCCUCGGGUUGUAAAGCACUUUCAGUGAGGAAGAACGCCGGUGGUUAAUACCCAUCAGGAAAGACAUCACUCACAGAAGAAGCACCGGCUAACUCCGUGCCAGCAGCCGCGGUAAUACGGAGGGUGCGAGCGUUAAUCGGAAUUACUGGGCGUAAAGCGCGCGUAGGUGGCUUGAUAAGCCGGUUGUGAAAGCCCCGGGCUCAACCUGGGAACGGCAUCCGGAACUGUCAAGCUAGAGUGCAGGAGAGGAAGGUAGAAUUCCCGGUGUAGCGGUGAAAUGCGUAGAGAUCGGGAGGAAUACCAGUGGCGAAGGCGGCCUUCUGGACUGACACUGACACUGAGGUGCGAAAGCGUGGGUAGCAAACAGGAUUAGAUACCCCGGUAGUC
RNAcentral lists this ribosomal RNA (464 nucleotides) under Vreelandella stevensii. RNAcentral describes it as "partial 16S ribosomal RNA". It matches the Rfam family "Bacterial small subunit ribosomal RNA", at positions 338 to 795 of the family's 1533-position model. The record is from RNAcentral. Lineage: Bacteria; Pseudomonadati; Pseudomonadota; Gammaproteobacteria; Oceanospirillales; Halomonadaceae.